AGAUGUGAUGGCAGUAUGUCUGUGACAUCUUUCACUCUAUUUAUCACCAGAGUUGAUUCAUCUAAUCUUGCUGAUAAGUCAGGUGUUACUUUCCUUCUUCAAUGCUUCAUGCAUAUUGCCUGAAACUACUGACAUUAUCAAGGAGGAAGACUACCCCAAUAAAGCAGGACCAUUCCUUGGUGAAUCCUAUAAAAACAUCUGUGAUCCUCUGCUAGCACCUCUAACCAAGCUCUCAGAAUGACAGUUGCCUAGAGAACUUGUUCAUCAGAGUAUUGAACAAUCCCAUUACUGUACUCCUUUCACCAAGAUAGAAGGAAGCAUGG
Molecule: small nuclear RNA, 323 nt
Filed under: Octodon degus (degu)
Lineage: Eukaryota; Metazoa; Chordata; Mammalia; Rodentia; Octodontidae
Description: 7SK RNA (ENSODEG00000025757.1)
Rfam family: 7SK RNA
About the family: 7SK was discovered as an abundant small nuclear RNA in the mid-70s but a possible function has only recently been suggested. Two independent studies have found that 7SK RNA binds the CDK9/cyclin T complex (known as elongation factor P-TEFb).
Source: RNAcentral